This is a long non-coding RNA of Gallus gallus (chicken), 637 nucleotides long. NCBI's taxonomy places the organism in Eukaryota, Metazoa, Chordata, Aves, Galliformes, Phasianidae. The record is from Ensembl.
GUCAAGGCCGUGGAGAGUGUUCAGAGAAGGGCAACAAAGCUGGUGAGAGGUCUGGAGCACAGGCCUUAUGAGGAGCGGCUGAAGGAGCUGGGAUUGUUCAGUCUGGAGAAGAAGAGGCUCAGGGGAGAUGUUAUUGCUCUCUAUAACUACCUGAAGGGAGGCUGUAGUGAGCUGGGGGUUGGCCUCUUCUCUUGUGUAACCAGUGAUAGGACUAGAGGGAAUGGCUUCAAGCUGCGCCAGGGAAGGUUCAGGCUGGACGUUAGGAAAUACUACUUCUCUGAAAGGGUGGUCAGGCACUGGAAUGGGCUGCCCAGAGAGGUAGUGGAGUCACCGAGCCUGGUGGUGUUCAAAGAGCGUUUGGAUGUUGUAUUGAGGAACAUGGUUGAGCGAGAACCACUGGUGAUGGGUGAAUGGUUGGACUGGAUGAUCCUGUGGGUCUUUUCCAACCUUAUCGAUUCUAUGAUUCUAUGAUUCUAUGAUUCUAUCAUUUCAUACUGCUUUCAAAUUUGGUUCCUUCAUAGUUUCUUAUGAAGUCUGGUCAGGUAAGUAUAAGCUCUUUCCACUUCUGAGCUGACCUGGAACCGUAACAGCAGAACUGUGUUUAUAUUUUGACAGUGUUACGUAGUUUUCAAAAAAG